RNAcentral lists this ribosomal RNA (253 nucleotides) under uncultured bacterium. RNAcentral describes it as "partial 16S ribosomal RNA". It matches the Rfam family "Bacterial small subunit ribosomal RNA", at positions 524 to 776 of the family's 1533-position model. The record is from RNAcentral.
UACGGAGGGAGCUAGCGUUAUUCGGAAUUACUGGGCGUAAAGCGCACGUAGGCGGCUUUGUAAGUUAGAGGUGAAAGCCCGGGGCUCAACUCCGGAAUUGCCUUUAAGACUGCAUCGCUAGAACGUCGGAGAGGUAAGUGGAAUUCCGAGUGUAGAGGUGAAAUUCGUAGAUAUUCGGAAGAACACCAGUGGCGAAGGCGACUUACUGGACGACUGUUGACGCUGAGGUGCGAAAGCGUGGGGAGCAAACAGG